This is a non-coding RNA of Armillaria novae-zelandiae, 126 nucleotides long. The record is from the annotation of a GenBank genome assembly. NCBI's taxonomy places the organism in Eukaryota, Fungi, Basidiomycota, Agaricomycetes, Agaricales, Physalacriaceae.
GGCAGAAUGGCCGAGCGGUCCAAGGCGUGUGACUCAAGCGACUGCGUAAUAUUUACGUAAGGUGCUUGCCCUAUCUGGGUUUCUCAUCAUCGUAUGAUGGCAGGGGUUCGAAUCCCCUUUCUGUCA